AAAGAAAAUGUCAUGUGUAUUUGGAAGCAGCAUUGAUCUUCCCACACCCAAGGCCCUGUGCCAGGUAUCAGAGGUGCAACGAUGAAGCACCAAUCUGGCAGGUACAAAAGGUUGCGGGGUCAGAUUUGAAGGCACCCUGACAUUGAACCAGUCACUUGCCUUCUCUGGGCUUCAUUGUUCUCUUAACAGGGCGACGUUGUCGCUGAAGGCUGGCUGCUAAGAGUCCACGCUCAGGAAGGAGGAGAAGCAGCAGAAUGGUCCACACGGACCAUCCGAAGGCUUCUCACGCUCACCUGAGGAGAGCCCUACCGUAGCCACCACCACAAAGCCUUUCUCGAGAAGUCCUCUUCCUUUUCAUUAUCUGAAAAGCUGAACCCAUUUGACAUCUCUCUCCUUCCCCCACGGGAGAGCUCUCAGAUGCUCUCGGGGGAGAAAACUGGAGGUACCGAAGGGCAUGAGGGCUGGAAGCCGGAGAUGAGAAAUAUGUGGAACACUGACUGCGAGCCAGGAAAGCUGCUGCGAGCUGAGGAUGGAGACAGAAGUUGUCAGAGGAGCAGUUCUGACCCUGGGGGAGCCAUUCCGCUCUGGCCUCAGAAGGUGGAGGCGUUUGGAACCUGUGGGGGAAUUUCAGUGAAGGUGGAGGAAUGUGGGAGAAAGUUCCAAAGAGGGAUGUGAGAGAGCGACUGAGUCUAACUUGUCCAGGGUAUGGAGGGUGGGGGAUAGGGGACUGGGGAACAGGGAAGUUGUCUUUUCUUGGCUGAGGAGUCAUCCGAGGCCGGUGAGAGCACAGCAUGGUGCUGAAUGGAAAGAAUGAUGCUGAAUUUGGACAAAGGAGGGGUGUGGAGGCUGAAAGGAUGAGUCGCAAAUCCUUGGAUGAGUAGAAUGGCAAGCAAAAUGCAAGGUUCAUUAGGAUUUUUAUAGAGAUGGCCACUGUGUUCACAUUGACAAGAUGUGCCCUGUUUUCUCUUUGUGUGGUUAAGGUUGGAACGAAGCUGGAAUGCUCGGAAGGUCCCAUGUCCCAGUUCUGACAGGUCCUCUCAGACCCAGCCCAUUACCUGACAAUCUUAGUCACCUGAGUGGGGGGGCGGGCAGUUGGCAGGAUUCUCUCAGAAAUGACUUUCUUGUGAUUUGUCCAGCAAUCCCUUCCAUUAGCCAAACCAAAACAACCACUGAAUCUGAGGUAUUUGGCGUGGGUGGAUGGCGUUCUGGAUCCUUUAAGGGCAAAUGGCUGUAAAAUGAAAUGAUUCCCUUAAAAGCUCACUUCGUCCUUGAAGUGUGUGUGUGUGUGUGUGUGUGUGUGUGUGUGUGUGUAGGGGAGGAGGUCUUGUAAAGCUCUCACUUGUUCCAAAUGAACUUCCCCAACUUCAUUAGAAACAAGUGCAAACAGAUGGGGAGGGCGUAUUUCAUAAUAGCAACGGCCUCUUCACCACUGACCACCAUGAGAAAAAAACGGCUCACCCCCUCCCCCGCCCCCCACCUUCUGGAAGUUGUCCCUUUAAGUGAGGUAGGAAAGUUGGAGCUGUUUGCCUCCAAGGAAUUUAAGAGAAUCAACAUGUUUUCCUUUCCUGGUUGCAUCUGUGGUUGGAUUGCUUAAAAUAUUUCACUUCUUAAAGUAUCCUCAGUUUGUUACGGUGGAUUUUUUUGGUUUUUGUGUUGUUUGCCUCCCCCUUGUUUU
Molecule: long non-coding RNA, 1675 nt
Organism: Ursus maritimus (polar bear)
Lineage: Eukaryota; Metazoa; Chordata; Mammalia; Carnivora; Ursidae
Source: Ensembl